This 440-nucleotide ribosomal RNA is filed under the name uncultured bacterium. RNAcentral describes it as "partial 16S ribosomal RNA". It matches the Rfam family "Bacterial small subunit ribosomal RNA", at positions 338 to 795 of the family's 1533-position model. The record is from RNAcentral.
CAGACGGGGGACAGCAGUGGGGGAGAGGGCACAAUGGGGGGAACCCUGAUGCAGCGACGCCGCGUGGGUGAAGAAGCGCCUCGGCGCGUAAAGCCCUGUCAGCAGGGAAGAAAAUGACGGUACCUGAAGAAGAAGCCCCGGCUAACUACGUGCCAGCAGCCGCGGUAAUACGUAGGGGGCAAGCGUUAUCCGGAUUUACUGGGUGUAAAGGGGGCGCAGACGGCGAUGCAAGCCAGGAGUGAAAGCCCGGGGCCCAACCCCGGGACUGCUCUUGGAACUGCGUGGCUGGAGUGCAGGAGGGGCAGGCGGAAUUCCUGGUGUAGCGGUGAAAUGCGUAGAUAUCAGGAGGAACACCGGUGGCGAAGGCGGCCUGCUGGACUGCAACUGACGUUGAGGCCCGAAAGCGUGGGGAGCAAACAGGAUUAGAUACCCCUGUAGUC